This 497-nucleotide ribosomal RNA is filed under the name uncultured bacterium. Its description in RNAcentral is "partial 16S ribosomal RNA". It matches the Rfam family "Bacterial small subunit ribosomal RNA", at positions 28 to 507 of the family's 1533-position model. The record is from RNAcentral.
GAUGAACGCUGGCGGCGUGCCUAAUACAUGCAAGUCGAGCGAACGGACGAGAAGCUUGCUUCUCUGAUGUUAGCGGCGGACGGGUGAGUAACACGUGGAUAACCUACCUAUAAGACUGGGAUAACUUCGGGAAACCGGAGCUAAUACCGGAUAAUAUUUUGAACCGCAUGGUUCAAAAGUGAAAGACGGCCUUGCUGUCACUUAUAGAUGGAUCCGCGCUGCAUUAGCUAGUUGGUAAGGUAACGGCUUACCAAGGCAACGAUGCAUAGCCGACCUGAGAGGGUGAUCGGCCACACUGGAACUGAGACACGGUCCAGACUCCUACGGGACGCAGCAGUAGGGAAUCUUCCGCAAUGGGCGAAAGCCUGACGGAGCAACGCCGCGUGAGUGAUGAAGGUCUUCGGAUCGUAAAACUCUGUUAUUAGGGAAGAACAUAUGUGUAAGUAACUGUGCACAUCUUGACGGUACCUAAUCAGAAAGCCACGGCUAACUACGUG